RNAcentral lists this unclassified non-coding RNA (379 nucleotides) under uncultured Lysobacteraceae bacterium. RNAcentral describes it as "uncultured Xanthomonadaceae bacterium contains 16S-23S intergenic spacer region". The record is from RNAcentral. Lineage: Bacteria; Pseudomonadati; Pseudomonadota; Gammaproteobacteria; Lysobacterales; Lysobacteraceae.
UCCGUGUUGACCACGGCAGUCCCGCUAGAGUCCCCGGCAUGACCCGUUGGCAACUAACGGCAAGGGUUUCGCUCGUUAAGGGACUUAACCCAACAUCUCACGACGCGAGCUGACGACAGCCAUGCAGCACCUGUGUUCUGGUUCCCGAAGGCACUCCUCGAUCUCUCAAGGAUUCCAGACAUGUCAAGGCCAGGUAAGGUUCUUCGCGUUGCAUCGAAUUAAACCACAUACUCCACCGCUUGUGCGGGCCCCCGUCAAUUCCUUUGAGUUUCAGUCUUGCGACCGUACUUCCCAGGCGGCGAACUUAACGCGUUAGCUUCGAUACUGAGUGCCAAGUUGCACCCAACAUCCAGUUCGCAUCGUUUAGGGCGUGGACUAC